Molecule: non-coding RNA, 1264 nt
Organism: Heterocephalus glaber (naked mole-rat)
Lineage: Eukaryota; Metazoa; Chordata; Mammalia; Rodentia; Bathyergidae
Source: RefSeq, a predicted model, not a curated record
ACCUUGUCUACAUUAUUUUUCUUUUGUGAUUUUCCUUUAUUUCCAAAGGAAAUAGGAAUAGCAUGCAUGCGGUUACUUUCAAAAUUUUUCUGGAAUAUUAUAUUUAAAAUUUUCAUUUAAAUGUAUAAAAUUUCAUUUAAAAGAAAUCAUAAUUAUUUAGAUUUGUAUAAAGAUAUUUUAAUAACAUAAUUAAUAUUUUAGAACAAUUUAGAAAAAUUACGGGAUUAUGCUGCCAAUACAUUUGCAGAAGAUUUUGGAUACAAAGAAUAUUACUCAAUACCAGUCAUGGAAUUUCAUGGGAAAAGGGAUGGAAGAGGUUAAGAGGAUAGGACCAAGUCUGGAACUCGAGAACAGUGACUUCUAGCCGGGGAUUUAGCUCAGUGGUUCCACUGCCUGCCUCACAAGCGCAAGGACCUGAGUUCGAUCCCCGAGUAUACCGUUUGGUCUGAAGUCUGCUGUUGAAAGAGGAUUAUCUGCCGUUUUCCACACAUUUAGCCCUAAAACCUCAAGUUCCACGAUAAAUGUCUCAGAUGAAACAAGGUACGCUAUUUUCCACCACGCCGCUCUCCACAACAGAAUUUCCAACAUAUGUCACCUGUGCGGUGCCAACUUCAACAUCAACCAGAGACGCUUUGUUAUUGUCAGCCAAGAGUCAUCCAAAAUGGACACAAAAAAAGAAAGAAAUGGUCCAACACCUCUCCACCUGGCCACACAGGCUUGCUCAUUGGAGAGCACCAUCUGCCUACUUUCUUUCAAAGCUGAUUACACACUUUCUGAAAAAAGAGGCUGGAUACCGAUCCACUUUGCCGCUUUCUGUGAUAAUAUCUGCAUCAUCAUUGUUCUCUACAGGAAGGAUCCUAGUUUGCUAGAAGCGAAGGCAACCGCUGAGAACCAGUGUACUCCACUGUUACUUGCGGCCACUUCAGGAGCUCUGGGCACUAUUCAAUACCUAUUUUCUCUUGGGGCUAACUGGAGAAAAACAGACACUAAAGGAAACAAUAUAAUUCAUUUGUGUCAGUGCCAACCUUUCGUACAGAGGUACUUAAGCAUAUAAUAGAAUUAAACAUUCCUGAACUCCCAGUUUGGAAAACUUUGGUAGGUGAGUAUAGAACAUACAAUUUCUUUGUAAAUAAAUGUUUUUAUUAUCAUAAAAUAAAUAAAUGUGCGUUAAAAUCAGAAACCAAAAUACAAAUGAUAAAGAACUAUAUUUUGUGUACAAAAGUAGCUUUUUCUGAGUUACAAUAAAGAAUCUAUGAUAAUUUUA